GGAGGGUGCAAGCGUUAUCCGGAUUUACUGGGUUUAAAGGGUGUGUAGGCGGACUUUUAAGUCAGCGGUGAAAUCUCCGGGCUCAACCCGGAAACUGCCAUUGAUACUAUUGGUCUUGAAUGUUGUUGAGGUGGGCGGAACGGGUCAUGUAGCGGUGAAAUGCAUAGAUAUGACCCGGAACACCGAUUGCGAAGGCAGCCCACUAAGCAAUGAUUGACGCUGAGGCACGAAAGCGUGGGGAUCAAACAGGAUUAGAUACCCUGGUAGUCCACGCCCUAAACGAUGAUUACUCGACGUUGGCGAUACACUGAUCAGCGUCCAAAGGAAAGCAUUAAGUAAUCCACCUGGGAAGUACGUUCGUAAAAAU
RNAcentral lists this ribosomal RNA (367 nucleotides) under uncultured bacterium. RNAcentral's name for it is "bacterial SSU rRNA". It matches the Rfam family "Bacterial small subunit ribosomal RNA", at positions 527 to 895 of the family's 1533-position model. The record is from RNAcentral.